UACGUAGGUGGCGAGCGUUGUCCGGAUUUACUGGGCGUAAAGAGCGCGCAGGCGGCCAAGUCAGUCGAAUGUGAAAGCCCCCGGCUUAACUGGGGAGGGUCAUUCGAUACUGCUCGGCUCGAAGACAGGAGAGGGAAGUGGAAUUCCCGGUGUAGUGGUGAAAUGCGCAGAUAUCAGGAGGAACACCAAUUGCGAAGGCAGCUCGCUGGGACGUUACUGACGCUGAGACGCGAAAGCGUGGGGAGCGAACAGG
Molecule: ribosomal RNA, 253 nt
Filed under: uncultured bacterium
Lineage: Bacteria
Description: partial 16S ribosomal RNA
Rfam family: Bacterial small subunit ribosomal RNA
Source: RNAcentral